CGGAUGACUUGUGGCUGGGGGUGAAAGGCCAAUCAAACCGGGAGAUAGCUGGUUCUCCCCGAAAUCUAUUUAGGUAGAGCCUCGGACGAACACCAUUGGGGGUAGAGCACUGUUAAGGCUAGGGGGUCAUCCCGACUUACCAACCCCAUGCAAACUCCGAAUACCUAGGAGUUCAAUCACGGCAGACAGACAGCGGGUGCUAACGUCCGUUGUCGAGAGGGCAACAACCCAGACCACCAGCUAAGGUCCCUAAUAUCAGUUAAGUGGGAAACGAUGUGGGAAGGCUUAGACAGCUAGGAGGUUGGCUUAGAAGCAGCCACCCUUUAAAGAAAGCGUAAUAGCUCACUAGUCGAGUCGGCCUGCGCGGAAGAUAUAACGGGGCUAAACUGAUAACCGAAGCUGUGGAUGCGCAUUUAUGCGCAUGGUAGAGGAGCGUUCUGUAAGCCUGUGAAGGUGAGUUGAGAA
Molecule: ribosomal RNA, 465 nt
Filed under: Heterosigma akashiwo
Lineage: Eukaryota; Raphidophyceae; Chattonellales; Chattonellaceae
Description: partial Bacterial large subunit ribosomal RNA
Rfam family: Bacterial large subunit ribosomal RNA
Source: RNAcentral